This 460-nucleotide ribosomal RNA is filed under the name uncultured bacterium. RNAcentral describes it as "bacterial SSU rRNA". It matches the Rfam family "Bacterial small subunit ribosomal RNA", at positions 29 to 480 of the family's 1533-position model. The record is from RNAcentral.
AUUGAACGCUGGCGGCGUGCUUAACACAUGCAAGUCGAUCGGUAACAGGUGUAGCAAUACAUGCUGACGAGAGGCGGACGGGUGAGUAAUGCUUGGGAAUCUGCCUAUUAGUGGGGGACAACCCGGGGAAACUCGGGCUAAUACCGCAUGCGCUCUACGGAGGAGAGCCGGGGACCGCAAGGCCUGGCGCUAAUAGAUGAGCCCAAGUCGGAUUAGCAGUUGGUAGGGUAACGGCCUACCAAGGCGACAAUCCGUAGCUGGUCUGAGAGGACGACCAGCCACACCGGAACUGAGACACGGUCCGGACUCCUACGGGAGGCAGCAGUGGGGAAUAUUGGACAAUAGGGGGCAACCCUGAUCCAGCGACGCCGCGUGGGUGAAGAAGGCCUGCGGGGUUGUAAAGCCCCGUUCGGUGGGGAAGAAAAGUCUCGACCUAAUACGUCGGACCUUGACGUAACCC